AGAGUUUGAUCCUGGCUCAGGAUGAACGCCGGCGGUGUGCCUAAUACAUGCAAGUCGUACGCACUGGCCCAACUGAUUGAUGGUGCUUGCACCUGAUUGACGAUGGAUCACCAGUGAGUGGCGGACGGGUGAGUAACACGUAGGUAACCUGCCCCGGAGCGGGGGAUAACAUUUGGAAACAGAUGCUAAUACCGCAUAACAACAAAAGCCACAUGGCUUUUGCUUGAAAGAUGGCUUUGGCUAUCACUCUGGGAUGGACCUGCGGUGCAUUAGCUAGUUGGUAAGGUAACGGCUUACCAAGGCGAUGAUGCAUAGCCGAGUUGAGAGACUGAUCGGCCACAAUGGAACUGAGACACGGUCCAUACUCCUACGGGAGGCAGCAGUAGGGAAUCUUCCACAAUGGGCGCAAGCCUGAUGGAGCAACACCGCGUGAGUGAAGAAGGGUUUCGGCUCGUAAAGCUCUGUUGUUGGAGAAGAACGUGCGUGAGAUUAACUGUUCACGCAGUGACGGUAUCCAACCAGAAAGUCACGGCUAACUACGUGCCAGCAGCCGCGGUAAUACGUAGGUGGCAAGCGUUAUCCGGAUUUAUUGGGCGUAAAGCGAGCGCAGGCGGUUGUUUAGGUCUGAUGUGAAAGCCUUCGGCUUAACCGAAGAAGUGCAUCGGAAACCGGGCGACUUGAGUGCAGAAGAGGACAGUGGAACUCCAUGUGUAGCGGUGGAAUGCGUAGAUAUAUGGAAGAACACCAGUGGCGAAGGCGGCUGUCUGGUCUGUAACUGACGCUGAGGCUCGAAAGCAUGGGUAGCGAACAGGAUUAGAUACCCUGGUAGUCCAUGCCGUAAACGAUGAGUGCUAGGUGUUGGAGGGUUUCCGCCCUUCAGUGCCGGAGCUAACGCAUUAAGCACUCCGCCUGGGGAGUACGACCGCAAGGUUGAAACUCAAAGGAAUUGACGGGGGCCCGCACAAGCGGUGGAGCAUGUGGUUUAAUUCGAAGCUACGCGAAGAACCUUACCAGGUCUUGACAUCUUGCGCUAACCUUAGAGAUAAGGCGUUCCCUUCGGGGACGCAAUGACAGGUGGUGCAUGGUCGUCGUCAGCUCGUGUCGUGAGAUGUUGGGUUAAGUCCCGCAACGAGCGCAACCCUUGUUACUAGUUGCCAGCAUUAAGUUGGGCACUCUAGUGAGACUGCCGGUGACAAACCGGAGGAAGGUGGGGACGACGUCAGAUCAUCAUGCCCCUUAUGACCUGGGCUACACACGUGCUACAAUGGACGGUACAACGAGUCGCAAGCUCGCGAGAGUAAGCUAAUCUCUUAAAGCCGUUCUCAGUUCGGACUGUAGGCUGCAACUCGCCUACACGAAGUCGGAAUCGCUAGUAAUCGCGGAUCAGCAUGCCGCGGUGAAUACGUUCCCGGGCCUUGUACACACCGCCCGUC
This 1433-nucleotide ribosomal RNA is filed under the name Limosilactobacillus reuteri. RNAcentral's name for it is "bacterial SSU rRNA". It matches the Rfam family "Bacterial small subunit ribosomal RNA". Lineage: Bacteria; Bacillati; Bacillota; Bacilli; Lactobacillales; Lactobacillaceae. The record is from RNAcentral.